This 504-nucleotide ribosomal RNA is filed under the name Triticum aestivum (bread wheat). RNAcentral's name for it is "partial small subunit ribosomal RNA". The record is from RNAcentral. Lineage: Eukaryota; Viridiplantae; Streptophyta; Magnoliopsida; Poales; Poaceae.
UUAGUUUUCUUUAUCAGACUUUGUAGUUUCAAUGAUGACACAUAUUUGUCAAGUAUGGGUGUUGGCUCCAACAAUUCUCAUUGGUCUCAAACCAAUGAAGUGCAUCAAGAUGAUCAUGAAUAUGAAGUGCAUGAGGAGGGUGAGGGUAUGGUCGAUGCACCGAAAGGAAGGGCAUGCAACUACAUCGUGGAUGAAGACAUCUUGCUAUGCAAGAUAUGGCUGAAUGUGUCUAUGGAUGCCACCGUUGGGACGGACCAAACUAGAGAUACAUAUUGGUUUAGGAUGAAGGAGUACUUUGAUGCACACAACAAUAGUGGAAUUGAGCGCACCGAUAGAUCUCUUCGCUCCCGGUGGUCGACGAUCAACAGAGAUUGUCAAAAGUGGGCGGUGGCAAUGACGUUGGUUGACAAUAUAAACCCAAGUGGCACUAAUGAUAGAGAUAGGGUAAGUGACAUUUCUUUAUGUUCCAUGUUCAUGCCUCAUGUUUUGUGUUUCAAGUGGUAA